UGGGGAAUAUUGCGCAAUGGGGGAAACCCUGACGCAGCAACGCCGCGUGAAUGAAGAAGGCCUUAGGGUUGUAAAGUUCUGUUUUCUGGGACGAUAAUGACGGUACCAGAGGAGGAAGCCACGGCUAACUACGUGCCAGCAGCCGCGGUAAUACGUAGGUGGCAAGCGUUGUCCGGAUUUACUGGGCGUAAAGGAUGCGUAGGCGGAUGUUUAAGUGAGAUGUGAAAUACCCGAGCUCAACUUGGGUGCUGCAUUUCAAACUGGAUAUCUAGAGUGCAGGAGAGGAAAGCGGAAUUCCUAGUGUAGCGGUGAAAUGCGUAGAGAUUAGGAAGAACACCAGUGGCGAAGGCGGCUUUCUGGACUGUAACUGACGCUGAGGCAUGAAAGCGUGGGGAGCAAACAGGAUUAGAUACCCCCGUAGUCC
This 424-nucleotide ribosomal RNA is filed under the name uncultured bacterium. RNAcentral describes it as "bacterial SSU rRNA". It matches the Rfam family "Bacterial small subunit ribosomal RNA", at positions 355 to 796 of the family's 1533-position model. The record is from RNAcentral.